GCCCGUCAAUUCCUUUGAGUUUCACCGUUGCCGGCGUACUCCCCAGGUGGAAUACUUAACGCUUUCGCUGUGCCACUCAAGGCUCAUUUGCCCCGAACAGCUAGUAUUCAUCGUUUACUGCGUGGACUACCAGGGUAUCUAAUCCUGUUCGAUACCCGCACUUUCGUGCCUCAGCGUCAGUCGGGCGCCGGUAUGCUGCCUUCGCAAUCGGGGUUCUGCGUGAUAUCUAUGCAUUUCACCGCUACACCACGCAUUCCGCAUACUUCUCGCCCACUCAAGGCACCCAGUUCCGACGGCAGGCCGGGGUUGAGCCCCGACAUUUGACCGCCGGCUUAAAUGCCCGCCUACGCACCCUUUAAACCCAAUAAAUCCGGAUAACGCUCGCAUCCUCCGUAUUACC
RNAcentral lists this unclassified non-coding RNA (400 nucleotides) under uncultured fungus. RNAcentral describes it as "sequence contains ITS1". The record is from RNAcentral. Lineage: Eukaryota; Fungi.